Molecule: ribosomal RNA, 253 nt
Filed under: uncultured bacterium
Lineage: Bacteria
Description: partial 16S ribosomal RNA
Rfam family: Bacterial small subunit ribosomal RNA
Source: RNAcentral
UACGUAGGGACCGAGCGUUGUCCGGAUUCAUUGGGCGUAAAGAGCUCGUAGGCGGCCACUCAAGUCGAAUGUGAAACCUCGAGGCUUAACCUCGAGCCUGCAUUCGAUACUGGGCGGCUAGAGUCUGGUAGGGGGAUCUGGAAUUCCUGGUGUAGCGGUGAAAUGCGCAGAUAUCAGGAAGAACACCUAUGGCGAAGGCAGCUCUCUGGGACGGUACUGACGCUGAGACGCGGAAGCGUGGGGAGCGAACAGG